GAUGAAUGCUGGCGGCGUGCCUAACACAUGCAAGCCGAGCGGCAGCGCGAGUAGUUUACUACUUGGCGGCGAGCGGCGGACGGCUGAGUAACGCGUGGGAACGUGCCCCAAAGUGAGGGAUAACGCACCGAAAGGUGUGCUAAUACCGCAUAUGAUCUUCGGAUUAAAGAAUUUAUUCGCUUUGGGAGCGGCCCGCGUCGGAUUAGGUAGUUGGUAGGGUAAUGGCCUACCAAGCCGACGAUCCGUAGCUGGUCUGAGAGGAUGACCAGCCAGACUGGAACUGAGACACGGUCCAGAGUCCUACGGGAGGCAGCAGUGAGGAAUCUUCCACGAUGGGCGAAAGCCUGAUGGAGCAACGCCGCGUGCAGGAUGAAGGCCUUGGGGUUGUAAACUGCUUUUAUAAGUGAAGAAUAUGACGGUAACUGAUGAAUAAGCACCGGCUAACUACGUGCCAGCAGCCGCCGUAA
This 467-nucleotide ribosomal RNA is filed under the name uncultured bacterium. RNAcentral describes it as "partial 16S ribosomal RNA". It matches the Rfam family "Bacterial small subunit ribosomal RNA", at positions 28 to 523 of the family's 1533-position model. The record is from RNAcentral.